CUACGGGCGGCAGCAGUAGGGAAUCUUCCACAAUGGGCGAAAGCCUGAUGGAGCAACGCCGCGUGAGUGAAGAAGGUUUUCGGAUCGUAAAACUCUGUUGUAAGGGAAGAACAAGUACAGUAGUAACUGGCUGUACCUUGACGGUACCUGAUUAGAAAGCCACGGCUAACUACGUGCCAGCAGCCGCGGUAAUACGUAGGUGGCAAGCGUUGUCCGGAAUUAUUGGGCGUAAAGCGCGCGCAGGCGGUCCUUUAAGUCUGAUGUGAAAGCCCACGGCUCAACCGUGGAGGGUCAUUGGAAACUGGGGGACUUGAGUGCAGAAGAGGAAAGUGGAAUUCCAAGUGUAGCGGUGAAAUGCGUAGAGAUUUGGAGGAACACCAGUGGCGAAGGCGACUUUCUGGUCUGUAACUGACGCUGAGGCGCGAAAGCGUGGGGAGCAAACAGGAUUAGAUACCCCGGUAGUC
Molecule: ribosomal RNA, 464 nt
Filed under: uncultured bacterium
Lineage: Bacteria
Description: partial 16S ribosomal RNA
Rfam family: Bacterial small subunit ribosomal RNA
Source: RNAcentral